This 371-nucleotide ribosomal RNA is filed under the name uncultured bacterium. RNAcentral describes it as "bacterial SSU rRNA". It matches the Rfam family "Bacterial small subunit ribosomal RNA", at positions 527 to 898 of the family's 1533-position model. The record is from RNAcentral.
GAACCGUGCAAACGUUGUUCGGAAUCACUGGGCUUAAAGGGCGCGUAGGCGGACCGCCAAGUCUGUGGUGAAAGCCUCCAGCUCAACUGGAGAAGUGCCGUGGAUACUGGUGGCCUCGAGGAGGGUAGGGGCAUCUGGAACAGUAGGUGGAGCGGUGAAAUGCGUUGAUAUCUACUGGAACUCCGGUGGCGAAGGCGAGGUGCUGGACCCUUUCUGACGCUGAGGCGCGAAAGCCAGGGGAGCAAACGGGAUUAGAUACCCCGGUAGUCCUGGCCCUAAACGUUGAGGACUAGGUAGUGGACUUACAUGGGUUCACUGCCGAAGCAAAAGUGCUAAGUCCUCCGCCUGGGGAGUAUGGUCGCAAGGCUGAA